Carica papaya (papaya) is the source of this 2468-nucleotide RNA transcript. It is a transcript of the gene named Plant neutral invertase family protein, with no coding region annotated. NCBI's taxonomy places the organism in Eukaryota, Viridiplantae, Streptophyta, Magnoliopsida, Brassicales, Caricaceae. The record is from RefSeq and is a predicted model, not a curated record.
CCAUUAUUGUUCUCCUCCCUCUUCUUCCUCCUCCUCCCCCCCACACCUUGGCUCCAGUCCCUACCUCGCCACUUUCCAAUCAUGCAAGCAAGAUCCCACAGUCACAUACACAACCAACAGGUGACAGUCAAUCAUCAGCAUCCACGUGGACCCCACCAUCCUCUGCUAUCCGUACGAUGCAUGCACAAGUCCCACUCAUAAAAACUACCUUUUGGUGUUUCAUUUCCCCGUCACUCUCUACCUUUCCAGCUCCCAUCUUCAUGCGUUUCUCCUCUGGGUCCGGUUCCAUAUAGAUUUUGGAAACUGUCAUAGUUGGGAUUCUAAAACAUGGCACAACUGCAUGUGGAUGUAAAUCUCAAAGGAAAUACGAAGAACGGUGAUAAUGUCCGCACUGCGGACGACAUUGAAGAAUGUGAUUUCUCAAAGUUACUGGACAAGCCAAGGCCUCUGAAUAUAGAUAGGCAGAGAUCAUGUGAUGAAAGGUCGCUUAAUGAGUUAUCUAUUGGCUUGUCACCACAUCUGUCUUGCAGAAACUCUGAUGCCUUUUCAAGAAUUAUCGACCAUAUUGAUUAUGUCCAUUCACCAAUUGCUGGUCGAAAGUCUGGAUUUAAUACUCCAAGGUCACAUGUGAAUGUGUUUGAGCCACAUCCAACGGUGGCUGAAGCCUGGGAUGCUUUGAGGCGCUCCUUGGUAUACUUUAGAGGCCAACCAGUUGGGACAAUUGCUGCACUAGACAAUUCAGAAGAAGAACUUAACUAUGAUCAGGUGUUUGUGAGAGACUUUGUUCCUAGUGCAUUGGCCUUUUUGAUGAAUGGGGAACCUGAAAUAGUAAAAAACUUCAUUUUGAAGACUCUUCGCCUUCAAUCAUGGGAGAAAAAGAUAGAUAGAUUUCAGCUUGGCGAGGGGGUCAUGCCAGCUAGUUUCAAGGUUCUUCAUGAUCCUGUCAGGAACUAUGAAACUUUAAUUGCUGAUUUUGGAGAAAGUGCAAUAGGAAGAGUUGCCCCUGUGGAUUCUGGAUUUUGGUGGAUUAUAUUACUUCGGGCAUACACAAGGUCUACAGGAGACUCUUCUCUGGCUGAAAUGCCUGAAUGCCAGAAGGGCAUGCGCCUAAUACUGAGUUUAUGCCUGUCAGAGGGGUUUGACACAUUUCCUACUCUUCUUUGUGCUGAUGGGUGCUGCAUGAUUGAUCGUAGAAUGGGUGUUUAUGGGCAUCCUAUUGAAAUACAAGCACUCUUCUUUAUGGCUUUGAGAUGUGCUUUGCUUCUCCUAAAGCAAGAUAAUGAGGGGAAGGAGUUCAUAGAACGAAUUUCUAAGCGCCUACAUGCACUAAGCUAUCACAUUAGAAGUUACUUUUGGCUUGAUCUGAAGCAGCUCAAUGAUAUAUACAGAUAUAAGACAGAAGAGUACUCACACACGGCAGUCAAUAAGUUUAAUGUAAUUCCAGAUUCUCUUCCGGAAUGGGUUUUUGACUUUAUGCCACUUCGUGGUGGCUACUUUAUUGGUAAUGUUAGCCCUGCAAGAAUGGAUUUCCGUUGGUUCUGUUUGGGUAACUGCAUUGCAAUUUUGUCAUCCCUAGCAACUCCUGAACAAUCUACUGCAAUUAUGGAUCUUAUAGAAUCACGUUGGGAGGAAUUAGUUGGAGAAAUGCCACUAAAAGUUUGUUAUCCAGCAAUAGAGAGCCAUGAAUGGCGGAUUGUAACAGGGUGUGAUCCUAAAAAUACAAGAUGGAGUUACCACAAUGGGGGAUCUUGGCCAGUUCUACUUUGGCUUCUAACGGCUGCAUGCAUCAAAACCGGACGCCCACAAAUAGCAAGAAAUGCUAUUGAACUAGCCGAAACCAGGCUGCUGAAGGACAACUGGCCUGAAUAUUAUGAUGGUAAGGUUGGCCGAUACAUUGGGAAGCAGGCUCGAAAGUUCCAGACAUGGUCAGUUGCUGGUUACUUGGUAGCAAAGAUGAUGUUGGAAGAUCCAUCUCAUUUAGGCAUGGUGGCACUUGAGGAAGACAAACAAAUGAAACCCCUCAUGAAAAGAUCAAAUUCAUGGACUUUUUGAUGAAAUUCAUUAGGAUGGUGUUGUUUACUAUCAUUUUCUGAUUUCAACCAACUGACCAGUUCAGAGCUAAUCACGAAACAAAGGUAUUGAAGAGGAAAUCAAGUCCAAACGAAGACUGCUUCGGUGGAAACAAGCUGCUUCCUUCAGGGGUUGGCUGCUAACUUUUUGUAGACAUUGACUUGAUGGGUCGAACCAACCGCACAGUCAGAAGAGGUUUGAUUUGCUUUGUUCACGAGUGCGGAGUUAUUCUCUAUACAUACCGAAGGCAGAGGGACAAGUCAUUGAGUGGUCGUAUCACGGAUUUCAAAUACUCUCUGGGACAUAGUUGCCUCCUUUUAUUAAUCGAUUAUUACUUUUAUUUUUAGUGGCUAACAGUUUUUGUAUUAUAAUUCAAAAGUGUGUAUGUUGUAUUUCCA